UACGAAGGACCCAAGCGUUAUCCGGAUUUAUUGGGUUUAAAGGGUGCGUAGGCGGGCUAUUAAGUCAGUGGUGAAAGCUCCGAGCUUAACUCGGAAACUGCCAUUGAUACUGACGGUCUUGAGUACAUUUGAGGUGGGCGGAAUGUGUCAUGUAGCGGUGAAAUGCUUAGAUAUGACACAGAACACCGAUUGCGAAGGCAGCUCACUAAACUGUAACUGACGCUGAGGCACGAAAGCGUGGGGAGCAAACAGG
This 253-nucleotide ribosomal RNA is filed under the name uncultured bacterium. Its description in RNAcentral is "partial 16S ribosomal RNA". It matches the Rfam family "Bacterial small subunit ribosomal RNA", at positions 524 to 776 of the family's 1533-position model. The record is from RNAcentral.